Molecule: ribosomal RNA, 499 nt
Filed under: uncultured bacterium
Lineage: Bacteria
Description: partial 16S ribosomal RNA
Rfam family: Bacterial small subunit ribosomal RNA
Source: RNAcentral
GACGAACGCUGGCGGCGUGCCUAAUACAUGCAAGUCGAGCGGACUUUCAAGAAGCUUGCUUUUUGAAAGUUAGCGGCGGACGGGUGAGUAACACGUGGGCAACCUGCCUGCAAGACGGGGAUAACUCCGGGAAACCGGGGCUAAUACCGGAUAAUAUCUUCCUUCGCAUGAAGGAAGGUUGAAAGGCGGCGCACGCUGCCGCUUGCAGAGGUGCCCGCGGCGCUUUAGCUAGUUGGUGAGGUAACCGCUCACCAAGGCGACGAUGCGUAGCCGACCUUAGAGGGUGGUCGGCCACACUGGGACUGAGACACGGCCCAGACUCCUACGGGAGGCAGCAGUAGGGAAUCUUCCGAAAUGGGCGAAAGUCUGACGGAGCAACGCCGCGUGAGCGAAGAAGGUCUUCGGAUCGUAAAGCUCUGUUGUCAGGGAAGAACAAGUACCGUUCGAACAGGGCGGUACCUUGACGGUACCUGACCAGAAAGCCACGGCUAACUACGUG